GAUGAACGCUGGCGGCGUGCCUAAUACAUGCAAGUCGAGCGAACAGACGAGGAGCUUGCUCCUCUGACGUUAGCGGCGGACGGGUGAGUAACACGUGGAUAACCUACCUAUAAGACUGGGAUAACUUCGGGAAACCGGAGCUAAUACCGGAUAAUAUAUUGAACCGCAUGGUUCAAUAGUGAAAGACGGUUUUGCUGUCACUUAUAGAUGGAUCCGCGCCGCAUUAGCUAGUUGGUAAGGUAACGGCUUACCAAGGCGACGAUGCGUAGCCGACCUGAGAGGGGGAUGGCCCAAACUGGACUUGGGCACCGUCCAGACUCCUACGGGAGGCAGCAGUAGGGAAUCUUCCGCAAUGGGCGAAAGCCUGACGGAGCAACGCCGCGUGAGUGAUGAAGGUCUUCGGAUCGUAAAACUCUGUUAUUAGGGAAGAACAAAUGUGUAAGUAACUAUGCACGUCUUGACGGUACCUAAUCAGAAAGCCACGGCUAACUACGUG
This 496-nucleotide ribosomal RNA is filed under the name uncultured bacterium. RNAcentral describes it as "partial 16S ribosomal RNA". It matches the Rfam family "Bacterial small subunit ribosomal RNA", at positions 28 to 507 of the family's 1533-position model. The record is from RNAcentral.